This 501-nucleotide ribosomal RNA is filed under the name uncultured bacterium. RNAcentral's name for it is "partial 16S ribosomal RNA". It matches the Rfam family "Bacterial small subunit ribosomal RNA", at positions 30 to 523 of the family's 1533-position model. The record is from RNAcentral.
AUUGAACGCUGGCGGCAGGCUUAACACAUGCAAGUCGAGCGGGGGAAGGUAGCUUGCUACCGGACCUAGCGGCGGACGGGUGAGUAAUGCUUAGGAAUCUGCCUAUUAGUGGGGGACAACAUCUCGAAAGGGAUGCUAAUACCGCAUACGUCCUACGGGAGAAAGCAGGGGAUCUUCGGAACUUGCGCUAAUAGAUGAGCCUAAGUCGGAGUAGCUAGUUGGUGGGGUAAAGGCCUACCAAGGCGACGAUCUGUAGCGGGUCUGAGAGGAUGAUACGCCACACUGGGACUGAGACACGGCCCAGACUCCUACGGGAGGCAGCAGUGGGGAAUAUUGGACAAUGGGGGGAACCCUGAUCCAGCCAUGCCGCGUGUGUGAAGAAGGCCUUAUGGUUGUAAAGCACUUUAAGCGAGGAGGAGGCUACUUUAGUUAAUACCUAGAGAUAGUGGACGUUACUCGCAGAAUAAGCACCGGCUAACUCUGUGCCAGCCGCCGCAGUAA